RNAcentral lists this long non-coding RNA (13383 nucleotides) under Brassica napus (rape). RNAcentral describes it as "long non-coding RNA (BNAP_LNC000718)". The record is from RNAcentral. Lineage: Eukaryota; Viridiplantae; Streptophyta; Magnoliopsida; Brassicales; Brassicaceae.
GUCGUCAUAGGUUAGUUUUGUAUUUGACUGGAUAAUUUCAGAAGUUUGACUUCCCCAGACGACUUACAUUUCAGUCGUCUGGCGAAAAUUAAAAUAAUAAUAUUUUUUUUUAAAGUAAACGACUUACAAUUAAGUAGUCAUAGGUUAGUUUUGCAAUUGAAAAAAAAAACUUCAAGAUUUAAUUAUACACAGACGACUUAUAAUUCAGUCGUCCACCAGACGACUUAAUUGUAAGUCGUCCAGGAUUUUUUUCCGAGAUUCUGGUCAAACCUCGUAAAUCCUGGACGACUUACAUUUCAGUCGUCUCGUGGACGACUGAAUUAUAAGUCGUCUGUAUAUAAUUAAAUCUUGAAGUUUUUUUUUUCAAUUGCAAAACUAACCUAUGACGACUUAACUGUAAGUCGUCUACUUUUAAAAAAAUAUUAUUAUUUUAAUUUUCACUAGACGACUGAAAUGUAAGUCGUCCAAAAAGUCAAACUUCUGAAAUAAUCCAGUCAAAUGCAAAACUAACCUCUGACGACUGAAAUGUAAGUCGUCUAGCUUUUUUGGAGUUUUUUUUUUAACCAAACAAUAGUAGACGACUUAACUUUCAGUCGUCCGAAAUAACAGAUUUCAAAGUCAAUUGCAAAAAUAACCUCUGCGUUGACCAGACGACAUAUAGUUUAGUCGUCUAGACAACUUAGAUUGAAGUCGUCCGCGUCUUCUCCACUAGUUUUUAAGUCUUCUACGUUAGUUUUUGAAUAACUUGUAUUUUUAAGAGUGAUAAGUAACUUCAAGAUAUGUAAAACUCAUAUUUACAAAAUAUGUUCUCUCCCUUAGUUUUACUAAAUUUGACUAAGUUUUUCAAUGCAAACUUAUAAAAAAUAUGAUAUGCUUUGACUAGUUACUAUUGUUUGUUUCCAUCUCUUACCAACAUUCUUGUUUAUUAAGAUGAGAAAAAGGACAUUGGAGUUUAUUAUUGCAUAUGAGAGAUCCAAAGAUAAGAAAAAGGCUACUGAAGUCUAUUAUUUCAUUGAUUUGUAAAUGUGUAAACACAUUGUUAGCACAUUUAAUACAUCUUGGAAAACAUUAUUACUGAUUUUACAAAAAAUUCACAACUAAAAGAGUAGACAUGCAAUUCACAAAACAGACCACAAACAAAACUAUUAUAGAUCAUUCCUCUACAAAGACAAGCUUGGAUUCCACUUGAGUAGACAAGACCAGACGACUUUUAAGAAGUCCAGACGACUUCUAAGAAGUCCAGACGACUUCCAGGAAGUUCAGACGACUUUGUCAAAAGACUUUAAGGAAGUCAGACGACUUCCAAACGACUUUACAGGAGGUCCAGACGACUUUUAGGAAGUCCAGACGACUUCCAGACGACUAACAAGUAAGCCGUCCCAGAAUUCUUCCAGAUCUGAAAAACCUGCAUAUUAUCCAGAUCUGAAAAACCUGCAUAUUCAAAAACGUUCAAAUGGCUUAAAAACAGAAAAAAUGAGUGGAAGAUUAGAUAAAUCUACCUUUACAGAACACACAAAAAUACAUAUCUAAAAAUAAUAGAUCUACCUUUAAAUUAGUGGAAGAUGAGUACCAUUUGAUUAAAAACCUGCAAAAGAGAUAGAUUAGUAAGAAAUACAUGAGACAAAACUGAAAAAUUCAUAUAAAGUUUGGUGUUUUCAAGUCAAAGAGAUUAGAGAGAGGUUGGAGAGUUUUAGAAUGAUGAACAUUACAUUUUUGUUGCAGCCAUUUGAGAGGAGGAGAGAGAAUGUGUAAAUUUUUCUUUAUAUAGGGAGACAAAAAAUCCAAUUAGGUUAAAUAUUUUUGACUCAGACGACUUCCUGGACGACUUACAUUUCAGUCGUCUGGUGAAGAAAUUAAAACAGACGACUUACAUGUAAGUCGUCCAGAAGAGUUUAAUAUUUUUAGCGGGAAAUUAAAUAUUUUUAGCGGGAAACUAAAAUAGAAGACUUUCCAGACGACUUACAAGUAAGUCGUCUGGUUUAAAUUAUUUAAGCGGGAAAAUAAUUUUUUUAAAAAAUUUUAGGCGGGAAUAUUUGGACGACUUACAUGUAAGUCGUCUGUUUUAAUUUCUUCACCAGACGACUGAAAUGUAAGUCGUCCGAGUAAAAUGAUCCGGUUAGGUUAAAACGUACAUUGGUAAAAUUAAAGGUUCGGUACGAUGUGGACGACUGAAAUAUACGUCGUCCGGGUAAAUUAUUCAACAGACGACUGAAAUAUAAGUCGUCCACACCCUAAACAUAACCCCUAAACUUAAUUAUCUAAUUAAACACUUCAUAAAACCAAAUCAAACUUGAAAAGUGCUUACUAUACACAGAAAUAAAAACAUAUAGGUGAAAACUAAUUUUUGAAAAAAACAUUUUAGUUUUCCAAAAUCUAACCCUAACAAUACAUACAAUACUACAACAUAUGUUUGCCAAACUCCUAAACCAAAGUAUUUCAUGAUUCACUACUUCCACUCAUCUAUCUUCAAAACAAAUCAAUUUUAUCAUAUCUUAAUUUAUAUCACUUAAAACUGUUUAUAAUUACUUGAUUUUUAUUUUUCACGCAUCAAAAUAUUUUCAGACGAUUUACUGGGGCUACAUUCGUAAAAAUGGCUUCUGUUUUUUUGUUUGGUCACAAGGGGCUGAGCUGUAAUUUCACUAGGCUUUUAGGUUAGUUUUGCAUUUGAUUCAAGUUUGGGUAUAGGGUUGGGAUUAAAAUCAAGUUGUGGGUUAGUUUUGGCAAAAACCCCAUAAAAUAAUGUAUAGGUUUGAGUACACUUAGCAGGAACCGCAAACCAAACUGAAAAAAUUGAAAACAAAAUUUAACUAAACUUCAUAAAUAACCGAGCAGAUUAUAAAUCUCUAAAACCGAAAAACUAAAACGAACUGAAAACCAAAUGGAUACCUAAAUUUAAAAAAUAUAAAUUAUACUUAAAAAUAUUAAUUAUAUUUAAUUUAUAAAUAACCAAAUAUCUUAAAAUACUAUUUACAAACCGAAUUACCCAAAAAAAAAACAAAUUACCUAAUCAGUUUUUAGUCAAAAGAUUAAAAAUUGUCCUGAUUGUCCGAUAUUUUUAUCCGAACUGUCCUAUAUUUAAAAUGGAAACCCCAAAUUAUCCGAUAUUUUUAUUUCUAAAUCCGUAAUUAUCCGAAAAACCAUAAUCAAACAAAAACUGAAUUUGACUCAUUUCUUUUUUUUUUGCAUAUUAGCCGGUUUCCAACUUUUCUUAGAAAGCAUGCAUUUUUUUUACUUAUUAAUUCAAAAUUAGUUUAAAACUACCAUUAUUUUUGUUUCAAAUCUUAACAAUUGAGGUUUUAUGUUUUAUCAUUUGUUUUUUUAUUCGAAAUAGAUUUAAAGAUGAUAUGUGUGAUUUAAUAGUAUCGAUAUUAUAUGCUAAAGAACAAUGUGUUUUCAUUAUUUAAAUGUAGUAAAUAUAUUAAUUGUCGAUUUUUCCAUUUAAAACAUUUUGUAAGAAUUUUGUCUAUUUAAAGCAUUACGCAUUUAAAUCAGUGUUUUUAAACUCAAACUGGACCCGCGGUUGAAUUGAUAACUUGGUGAUGCGAUAUUUAAUCUGGUUUGGAUUUUAAGAGAUAUCCAUUAUCUUAAAAUCCCAAAAACGCUAAAACUCGAAGUUUGAUCGAUAUCUAAUCUAAUUUGUUUUAAAUUGCUAUUGUUUAAAUUCAGAAGUUAAUUUCAAUGUGUGCAUUAUAUAUUAAAUACUUAUUAUUUUCAAUCUUGUUGCAUUUUAAUUAUAUGUCGUAAUCUGCAUAAAUUGGAAAAAUCUUAUAAUAUAUUUCUAUAAUUAUAGGAUGUUUUCUUUACAAAUUAUUUGAGAAAUUGUGUAAAGUGGUUUUCUCAUAAGUUGUCUAGUAAGAUAUUUGCUUAGAUAUCAAAAUAAAAAGUAUAUAUAUAUAUAUGUUUAUUUAUUUAAAUGUAUUUAUUAGAUAUCAGAAUAAAAUGUAUAUUCUCUUGACUGCAGAAUAUUUGAUAAUACAGUUUUUUGUGUAAUUUACUUAAAUGUUUUGAACUACACGUUUUCAAAAGUUAACCUGUUGGUUAAAUGGUUAGCUAUGACUCUCGCAACAAACCCAACCCUUAAGAUGAUGAUGGUUUAACAUUUGACAACAUAGUUAGGACUGUGUCUAUAUAAUAGUCAACAAAUUCAGAUUGUAGUAUUAUGGAGUCAACAUAUUUCGAGAUAAAAAACAUUCAAAACGUAAAUCUAUCGACGUCUCACAUAGUUUUGUUAUGAAGCUGAUGAAAGAAGUUGGAAGACAUAGUUUUGCAAACAUCAUUUGUUGCUAACGUAUAAACGUUGGUUUGAUUAAAUGUAAUAGGAUAAGGAUAUUCGUUUGUUCCUAUAAUUGAGUUAAAUUAUAUUUUGGUUAUUAUAAUAUGUUAAGUUGAAAAUAAAUAGGUCCAACAACCUUGUUUAAGUAGAUUUUUUAGGAGUGAUUCCCUUUUAAUAGUAUAGAUAUAUCAUUUAUUUUAUCAAAACAUUAUAAAUAUCACUCUAUUCGUAUGACACCUACGUAAGGUAGUUAUCUAAAGGUAUUCUAGCAGAUCCCAAAGUUUUUUGGCGGAAGCAGACUCCAUUGUCUCUCUGAAUAUCCAAUCAGGUAGAGACGGUUGCAUUAUCCGGAGCGCUUUCAUGUCUCCACCCACAAAAUAUCUCCAUGUUGCAAGAUAUUGAGCUUGAAUGGUCGCCUCUAACACUGGAAUAUUUGAUGGAUCUGGCGAUACUCCGUUUUCAAGGAUGUCCCAUAGCCCUCUUUCAACUCGGGACCAAAAGUCACAUUCUUCAUCAUCUUUGUCUUCUCUUCUUUUGUCAAAAUCUUCAAAUUUCCUCUUUCUUCGAUCGUAAGAGUUCCCUCUCGUAAUCCAAGCUUGCAUUUCUGUGUUUUGUCUGAAACAGUGGACUACUUCUCAUAUUGUGUCAUAUCUUUUGUAGUACCAUUGGCCUAAAUCAUCCACAUAUCCUCGUCCUAACUGUUUAAAAAAAAGGUUUAUAAAAAAAAAUUUAAUUUGUUUUCCAAAAAUGACUUAAAAAAAUUCAAAAAAUUUCGAAAAUAUUAAAAAAUUCGAAUUUGAAAAAAAAAUAAUUCAAAACUAUAAAAUUAUAUUUAUUUGUAUUUUUAAUUUAUUUUUAUGAUUUAUUUUCAUUUAUAUAUCUAUAAAAGUAAAGGGUAGAUGUUUUCUGUUUCUUUAAUAAAACAUCUUUUGAUCAUUUUUUUCUUAUGAAUUUUUUUUUGGUGACAAAAACUUAAAAUAGUAUUUUAAAAAAUUACCUUUACUUGUAAUGCAUUAAAUGCAUAUUUUUAUUAACAAAUACUACAUCUGCACUUUAUCUUGUUUUUCUAGAAACAACAAUUAUUACAAUUGAUUCAACUAAUAAAAAAUCAUGAAAUCAUAAACAUCAAUUACAUUUAGUUAAUACAUAGAAAUUUGAGAAUAUCAAUUAAACAAUUUUUUUCUUAAAACACCGUUUAAAUUAAAACAGAUGAAAUAUUUAAUUGUAUUAACUUUUAUUUUAAACAUUUAUUCUAUUAAAAAAAUGGUCUCACAUGGUAUAUUACAGUAGUAAAGGUUCCAUCAAAAUACAACCAAAUUUAUGGUUAUCAUAAUUAAUCGGUAAACAAUCGAGAAAAACACAACAAAUUCAGAUCCAAACGUGAAAACAAAAACACACCAAACAUUUAAACAAGCAUUAUUGUAGUUAUAUGAUAAAUAAAAUCUAAAUGAAGCACAAAAUACACUAAUACGUGAAAAUCAUACAAACUAAAUGAGCUGACAAGAGUUUUUCAUAUUAUCAAAUAAGGGGAAGCUUCGGUUGAACUAGAAUCUCGGGAAUACAGUCGUCGAUUUGUUCAUCAAAACUUUGUUCCAACUCGCAGAAAGUAAUAACGUCUUGUUGUGAGACAAAUAUCAAAAUUAUCUGUUGGAUGCGCAAUAUGUGACCAUCGGUAUUUCACAUGUGUAUUUUCAUCAACAAAAAAAUAUAUGUUAACAAAAUUAACAUUUAAUAACACACAAUACAACCAUAAUCGAAGAGAAAAGAAACAGUAAAUUAGCAUAUCCCGAUAAUUUUUUUAAAAAAUGGCUAACCUCUAAUUUGUGUCCAUCCGGUAAGAUUGGAAAAAGAAACCAAAUCAAACCAAUCAAAACCAAACCGACCUAAACUAAAUUGAUGUAUAUAUCUCAAUCGUUUAGUUAAUCUUUUUAUCAAUCCAAAAUCAAACUGAACUGAAGACUCAAAUUGUGUUUAAUUAGGCUAACUAUAUGCACAAAACUCGACCAUGAAAAUUAUAUGUACUAAUAACAAUAAAAUUAAGAUAAUUAAUCAUUCAACAUAAACAACUAGACAUAGUUUUAUAUUACUUUUUAUAUGAAUAGAAAAAACACAAACAACAAUGAAAACAUGUUUUACGACAAAAAGAAACAUAACUUUCUACAUUAAGGAAAUCUACGAUCAUUGUAUUAUGUUUGAAGAUAUGAUUCAAAAUUAUUGAAUUGCAUCUUUUAUAUUUUAACCGAAAUGAAACCAAAUUAGAAACCAAACCUAUUGAAUUGAACUAAACUCAAACCAAACCAAACUAAAACUGAUCCCAACACAAAACCAAACUAAUUUCAGUAAAAAGUUUCUUAGAACCGAAUUAACAAAACCAAAUCAAACCGAACCAACUUUUAACUGAAAUAUUCACCUUUACCAUCUGAUCGACAUCUAAUCUGGAUUGGACACAUAAAAAGUCCCGAUGUAGGUUUAGUGCCAACUUCAGAGGUUAGUGACAUAUGUCUGGAUUGUACACAUAAAUAGUUCCGAUGUAGGCUUAGUACCAACUUCAAAGAUUCGUGACAUAUGUUGGGUAUCAGAUGUCAACAAGAAGUCAAAGGACUUAAUUAGCACUAUCACCCAACAUAUGUCACUAACUUCUGAAGUUGACACUAAACCUACAUCGGGACUCUUUAUGUGUCCAAUCCAGACAUUUAUGAGCUUAUCAACAUGUCACCAAGACAUUUUCUAACUAGUACUAGUAUGAUGAGGAACUUUGUUGAUGCAAGAAUUGUGCUGAUGGACCGCAUAACAGUUUUUUUUUUUACUCAAAUUGAUUUUAGAUAAAUAAAGAGACAAAGCCCAUUAACCUUACAAAGGCCCACGGCCAACCGACACAAAGGCCCAAGGCCCAAUCCGAAAACCACAAAAACAUACAAAGCAAGAUGGGCUUGAGCCCAGUCCAAGCCCAUCAUCCCGCGGAAACCCUAGACACAGUCGGUCAUUUGCCCUUCCACCUCCAUGCAAACGGCGUCGCCGGAAUCUGAAAUGAGUGUCACCGGAGACGAGCGCACGGUCACAACAACAAAGGCGGUCCUCCACCGAGAUCUUCCAUCGGACAUACCGAAAUCUCAUCAAGACCACCAAUUGAAGCUGCACGUGACACCUUCGCCUCGGCCUGACCACCGCCGCAUCGCACCUUCGUCGGAGCAUCUCUCUCGACUCGCCGGAGCUCGUAAAGUACCGAGCCUCCCCUGGAACCACUGCGCUUUCUUCUCGCCACGGAGAGCUGCCUCGAACAAAUCGAGACCCUAACGAUCUGAGCUUUAACCGCAAUCACGGAAACCAAACACCACGGACCACCCCGAUCUACCAUCGGUACCAGACCGCAACCGUAGAAAUUAUUUAACCUCUUUACAAAGACACUACUUCACAUAGCUCCUCCUCACAUCUCACCGCCUCGUAAGGGCCAAGAUCCAUGUGAAAGGAGGUGUCUUACAAGCUCACGCGCCGUCGCCAAAUCGGAAACACCAGGGAUCUAAAAAGGGAAAAACAGAUCCGGUUUCUCCGCUAUCCUAAAAGCCGAGACUCUCCACACCACCACCGCCACGUAAGCCUCGCCGUCACUCCAGAUCUUGUCGAGAUUCGCCACCGUCCUCCUUGAAUCUAGGCUUCAGAUGAGUUUCCUUAAACCCAGAAUACACGAGCAUCUCGGCAGACGGACAUAACGAAGGUGUAGAGAGCAAAAUAAAAGGAGAUUAGAGGGAAGGAGGGUUCCUCCGGCGCCGGAUUAACCGGGCCGGAGUUAGGUCGCCGUGUUCCUUACUCGUUUGUUUCAAUAUUUGGUUGACCGCAUAACAGUUCUUGCAAGUCAUUUUGAAUAUGACGAUAAUGUAAAACAUUACUUUUUUUUCACGUUUUCAUUUCUCUUUUUCAUGUUGUCGGGUUUAUUCUCAAAUUUAUAUUUCAUGGCUAAGACAAACAAAAAAAAACACAUCCACAAAACAUUAGAUAGCAGUUGAACACAGUGAUCAACCAUAUGUGCUUUACUAUCAUUCCUGGUUUGUCAUCCAACGUUUCAAUAUCUCAUGAUCAAACAAGGAAACACAUGUGUGGGUUUCCAUUGCCAUAAGUCUUAGUCUCUGAACUGCAAUCAUCUUCGGGCCUAAAAGAGAGCACUUCAAGUCCGCCUAAGUUCAUAGAAAAAAAAUCAAUAUAACAUAGAUGUAAAAUCUGAGAUCCUCUAACUGAUAGUUGUUAAGAUUUAUACUAGAACUAUAAUUAGUCAAACAUGAAUCGUGAAAAAUCUGUUUUGACUAUUUGUAUAAAUAUUUAUAUAGUCAAACACAGGAGAUGGAAUCGUGUUAAUCCAUUUUCCGGUCUGUCUUCGACAAUUCGACGGGUUUACACCAAACCAGAGAUUUUUUUUUUUUUUUUUUAAACAAAACAAAAAAAAAACUUUUGGAUCUGUAAGACAAAAUCGAAAAAACUCUCAAGUUUCGUCUGGGAAGAAGAGAGAGAUGAAGAGGCCGGUCGGAGCCGAGAAGAAAAGGGUUAAACGAUCAUCGGGAUCUGCAUCCACCGCCGCUAGAGAUUCCGGUUCUGAUGCUCCACCAAGGGUUGGUUUGCUCCUCUCUUCUCUCGUUCUUUUGUUUCUUAGGCCUUUGUUUGAUCUGUUUCAGUCUCUCUGAUAGAGCGUAAACCUGUGAUUACACAAUUUACCAUAAAUUGUAUAUAUGUCUGUGUGUACACAUCAUUGUUAUGUUUUGUCUUCUCAGAACAUUUUACCUGUGGGAAUGUUAAUUUUGUUCACUUGCAUGUUGAAAGUUUGAGUCUUUAGCCUUUGUAAUGCGAAUUGAUCUUUCUUUUUUUUGUGGUGGUUGACUAGAAGAAAGGUGUGAAGAAGGAUUUGUUUCAGAUGUUUGCUGAGAAAGUUAGAGACCACAAGGGGUUGGAAUCAAGAUGGGCUGUUAUGGAGCAAGCCCGUGUAGAGUACUUCAGAGGCAAAGAUUUCGUCAACUUCAUUAAGAACAACCCCGAGUGUAAAGAGGUUCUAGAAGAAGAUAAAGACCUCGACACUGAAGAUAUCGCCAAUGUGUUGUUGGAGAAGAACCUUUUGGUUCGCUGUGAUCGUGUUACCAAAACCCUCCGUCCCGGGAAGAAAAAGCUCUCUACUUGGCCUGCUCAUCUUGAGAUUUUCCGUGUAAGCUGUUUUGCUGUUGGUUGUUGGUUCAUUUGCUAAGCUCAAAUGUUUUGAGGUUUUGAUUCUUUUUUUUACUCUUUUCUAAUGCAGGAAGAUCAAGCUUUCUCUGAGACUGAUGCCUUUUUUGCAUGGACGUUUGAGAAACGGCAUCCACUCUGGCAAACGCUUUUGUCCUUCUUCUGGCCUGUGUUGACUCUUGCAAUCUGUUUGUUUCCUGUCUACCCACACCGUUGCAAGCUCAUUGUUCUCUAGUCAUGUGCCGGCAUUCUUUUGAUGAUUCUCUCCUUGCUUUUCGGUAAGCUCUACAUUUAUAAUCUGUUGGAGUUUCCACCAUAGAGAGUCACUUUCUGAGUGUGUUGGCUGGCUCUUUAUUGGCUCUAAAACUAGUUCUUUUGUACUUUUGAGAAUUGGAAGAACAGUGAAUUACCACUAAGCACUGCUAGGCAAUAGUUUUAACUUGGCUUGUACUGAAACUAGUCUUUUGUUUAUUACGUUGAAUGGUGCAGUGAGAGCAGUUGCUUUCGGUGCUAUGUGGAUUCUUCUUGGAAAGCGUGUCUGGUUCUUCCCCAACAUUCUUGCGGAGGAAGCCACAUUGAAGGAACUGUUCCGUUUCUGGCCAAAGAAAGACGAGGAAGAACCGCCCAAGUGGACAUCUCGACUUUUCUACACAGUUGUGGCUGUUGUUGUUGUCAUGCUUCUCAGGCGCCAUGCCCCUGAUGAGGCUGCUCGAGCUAGGUAUACUAACUUAAAACCAGUACAUAACUAAUGGACUCUCUCCUCAGGAGAAGGUUGUUCUCUUUAAUUGAUAUGAGUUCUCCGGUUUGUUGACUUGUGAUGACCUUUUGUGCAUACAGGUACCAAAGAAGGAUGUCCAACAUCAUUGAUGAUGUCCUUGAGUGGUCCCCAAAGCUAGCACUCUCUGGUUUGAUGGAGAAUCAGCCACCGGUGAACAUCACAGAGGCCGCUAACAACUCCUCAGAUGCAGCAAGUCCCGACCAUACUGAAGAAGCUGACGUAGACGAAACACAAAGCGAGGAGGAAGCUGAAGACUGGACCAACUCUAAUAUAAAAACAUAAAAAUAUAUAUAGAGAAACGAAAUUUCAUUGUAACAAUAAGUCAGCCUGUGUGACCAAGACGAGGAUAGUUUUUUAUAAGGAAGUCUUGAAAGAUUUUGUGGUAUUCCAUUACUCUUAUCACUUUGGCACACUCUUGUAUUUAGUUAUUUAAUCACAUAGUUUUGGAUUCAAAGUCUUGGGAGGCAAACCUCUAUCACUUGCUAAGAAAUGUUUACUAAAGAGAGUAGCAAAAGAAAAGAGCACAAGUAGCAAAAAAAGCCAACAAAGAGAAAGCCAAGAAUGAGUUGCCUCUAGACAAUGUCACUUGAUUGCUAGACGAGCUUGAGAAGGAUGAUUUAAGGAAAUGAUGUUCCAUUGCUGACCUGAGCAGUCUGCUUCUUCCCUUCUCUUACAAGCUGUGCUCUGCAUCUCCUUGGAUUGUGUUCUAUUCUUAUCAUUCCAAGCUUCAGGCUGAUCAGAGCUAGAUGAUGUUGGGGACUGAGUACGACAAGCAUUUCUCUUCUCUAACUCUGCCUUGGCACGAGCCUGCCUUCGCCUCAGAAUCGCCUGGUACUGUUUAGCAUUCACGUAAACUGGUUCUUGUGUUAUCAUAAAAUUAUUGAAAUUUUAUCAGCUAGAUCAAAGAUUAUACAACUGUGUGGCUAACAAGUUGAGGUGUUGUAAUGCAAGGAUCCACAAGUUCUUGACUUUUUUCACUGUAAUCACCAGCUGCAUGUAGAAACACAGUAACAACACAACAGGUAAGCAAAUCAGCAAAGCUUAAGCGACGGGAGACGACAAGUCAUUCAAUGCACCUGAUUGGGGAGAGGUUGUGACUUGUGUCUCUUUGUUACCAUUUCCAUCUCUACUAGAUGGUGGUGGUCUGUCUCCAGCUUCUUCCACAAAAGAACUUGCACUAGUGUUCUGACUCCUACUGUCAGAUUUUGAAUUGCAUGUCUUCAGUUUCCUAUUCGGAAUCUAAUCGUUAGUGAUGAAACAUAUGAACUAACUUCUCUAACUGAAUCGAGUCAAAGGCACAACAAACACAGAACAACAACAACAACAAAACUCAAUAGGAUUCAGCAAUCUCGAAACCCAGAAACAUUGAGUGGUUAAAUUCACCAAAUCGGAUAGAAUUUCACAACUUUGAAACAAAAUGGGAGCUCAUGCAAAAUCAACCACGAAUUGAUAUGAAAAUCGAAACUUUUCAACAUACCAUUCAAUCAAAAGAGCGAAUAGACCGUCCCGGAGGCGAAGAGGAACGAUCUGAGUUGGUUUCAGUCAGAGGAAGAAGAAAAAAAAAAGCAAUUUUUAUGGACUUUUUUUUGUUUUUUGAUCGUUUUGAAACUUGGUUGCCACGUGUUCGCUACGUGAAAGGACUAGUGUGAGUCGUUUGGUCUGAGCCUAUAACGAGCUUCAAAAGCCCUGUAUUACAAGGUCCAUCCUCUUCACUUCAUGUUUAUCCCUAUCACCCUGAUUAAUAAAAGUAACCUAAGAACUUUAGGUAAGAAACUUCCAUUUUGAGUGGUCCAAUGAGAAUUUCUUAGCUAAGAGUUCUUAAAAAAAAUGAAACUUUGUGAAUACAAAGCUUGAAUGAGACUUUGAGAUCAUCUCCAAAGCUUGAACGUUACAAAAUGAAACUUUCUUCAAUCCAAAUGAGAAGUAUUACACACAUAAAAGUUAUCAAUAGAUAGGAUCUCUAAAACUUGAACAAACAAAUCAAACAAAAAGCUAGUCCAAAACUACCUAGUUGACUACUAAAAGGUAAUGCAAACAAGGAUCAUCUAUGUUGACAACCAAACAAUGACGAAAUCAAUCAACAACCAAACAUAACUAGUAAUCAAUCGACAACCAAACAAUGACAAAAUCUCAACAUCUAAGUCGGUAACGUAACCGAAGACAGCGUAACGACCGUCCAAGAUGUUGGAACUGCUUGGCGUCAGCUCACUCUCUUUCAGCAGCCAAAACACUUGGCUCGAUCCCGAGUCAUUCUCAAACUCAUGUUUUGCAUUACAUAUAAUUAGAACAUAUAUAUAUAUAUAUAUACAUACAUACAUAUAUAUAUAUAUAUUCAAUUGUGAAGAAAGAAAAUAAGAGAAAGAACUCUCACUUCUCUAGCCAUUGCCAUUGUCCCAAAUGAGUUGAAUGGAAGCAUCACCUAAGCCUUGAGACAUGGUUCUGAUUCGAACGCUCUCCACGAACACCACCGUGAAACUCGAAGCUUGAUGAGCUAGCGUUACUGUCAUAAUCAAGAUUUUCAUCUUCUUGUGGCCUCAGAGCCAUACUCAAUUCAGCCUUGAUCAGUUGCUGAGGUUUCUGUUGAUUGGUUUCUCUCGUAAGACCUUCAGACCGAUGUCUCGAGGCUUGAGUAUCGCUUAGGUCCAAAACCGACAGUGUGGCUACUCCUAUGUCAGUUGUUGAAGCCAACACUAACAAGAACAGAGCAAAAAGAGACAAGAUUUAGCUAAUAUCAGAGCAAAGACAACUCUAGCCAAGUUAAAUUCGAUUAAAAGGCUUCAAUUGUAACUUGGAGCAGAAGAUAAAGCACGAACAAAGCAAAAAGAGAAAAGCUUUAGUCAAGAACAGAGCAAAGACAGAGACUUUAGCCAAGAACAGAGUAGAGACAGAGACUUUAGCCAAGAAUAGAGUAAAUACAAAGACUUUAGCCAUGAACAGAGCAAAAAGAUAAGACUUUAGCCAAGAACAGAGUAAAUACAGAGAAUUUAGCAAUUCUAAGACAAACUGAGAUAGGGAAGACGAGAGACAAAACCAUUAUCAUCGUCGUAUGAAUCAGAUUUAGAAGCUAGCAAGCUGUUCUUGGAGAAUUCAGUGCCGUCCGGAGAGUUGAGAAGACUUUCCACGGAGAAGACAA